Molecule: long non-coding RNA, 994 nt
Organism: Manihot esculenta (cassava)
Lineage: Eukaryota; Viridiplantae; Streptophyta; Magnoliopsida; Malpighiales; Euphorbiaceae
Exons: 2
Source: RefSeq, a predicted model, not a curated record
UGGAAAACUACGUAAGGGGUCGCUGUGGUAGAUUGCUGUUUUAAUCAAGGUGGAACCUGGUGGGACUGGAACCUCGAAUUUCUUGGAUUCUCUGUAUUGUUGCUACCCCGAAUUUACAGCAAAUGGUGUCACCUCUAGAAGAAUACACAAGUUACUUGCCAGAGGAAGACGUUGGUUGGCAAGUACUGCAGCAACACCCUGCAAGCAUUCGCCGAGUAUGUUGUGGUUCCCAGUGACCAUAGUGGAAUGAGCGGUCGGCCUCGCUCUUGGCAAUUGACCAAGACAGAGGAGCAUCUCCGAUCCAAACAUUCAAGACCAACAACGUGAGAUUCCAAUUCCCAGUAUUCAGUUGUUUGAUCCCACCAGGACCUCGGGAUACCCAAAAUAUUUUACUGCAAAAGGAUUCCCUCAGGAGAACUGUACAAAGUUGAUAUUGACAUUGAAUGGCACUUAUCUCAUCCUCAGCUCCUCUUAAGAUCAACAACAAUUACACUAAUGUUAUCAGAGCUUCUCCGUCCCAAAGCGAGGCGAGUGAGAAGUGCUGCAGCCAAUAUGCUUCGAGAUGGAUAUAAUGUCCCAGUCCCUUCAUCUUCCAUGCGAGACCUGGCAUUCACAACACUAGAAGGAUUUCCUUCUCGCAGGCACUCACAAGCUACCUCACAAGCCAACUCACUCGACAGGACGUCCCACAGGCCAUCACUAGCGAGAAUUAAGCACUCAUCUUCUUGAUCUCUUUUUGUGAAGGUAAUCUCGGGCUCUGAUAUCACAAUUGGCUUUAAAAACCUGUCCCCUGACCAAUGAAGAGUAAAAGAGGAAAGUGAGCAAUAAGCACACAAGCAUCAUUAUUUUAUUAUGGAGAUCUUACAAGCUCCCCCGUUAGUCCUAUACCUUCUUUUUCCUAAUGACCUGCAGUUAGUGCUAUGUAUUUAAGCAUCAAAUUGUCACAUUAAGCAAGAGGAAACAUCCUAAAAUAAUUUAAGGUUUCUUUUUUUUA